This 341-nucleotide long non-coding RNA is filed under the name Olea europaea (common olive). Its description in RNAcentral is "long non-coding RNA (OEUR_LNC008875)". Lineage: Eukaryota; Viridiplantae; Streptophyta; Magnoliopsida; Lamiales; Oleaceae. The record is from RNAcentral.
UGAUAGUAGUCAUGAAUUACCUCGGGUGAAAACAUAAUCCAUUUGCCCCUAACCCAUGUCUGAUGUAAGUGCUCCGAUCCGGGAGUGUCGAUUUCUGUGUUGAAGUUUGCAUAAAACUCCUUUGCUAGAUUCUCAUACACCGGAUGAGGUCUUUCUAUUACCUUUUCCCAGCCACAGUUGUGAAUAAGAUAUGAUAUUUCAAAGUUGGGGAAAUCUUCUAGCCUAACUGGCCUCUCGGGAAUGAUUGCCCAAUUACGCACAACAUUGGCAUAACGGGCAGCUGCAUCUGAUGAAAGGAAUCUUCGAACACCCCCUUCGGGUUCUCUUGUUCGUGCCGUUCC